Molecule: long non-coding RNA, 1378 nt
Filed under: Sus scrofa (pig)
Lineage: Eukaryota; Metazoa; Chordata; Mammalia; Artiodactyla; Suidae
Description: lncRNA (ENSSSCG00070002385.1)
Source: RNAcentral
AUGCCGAGAUGCCGAGUGUGGUUCCUGGGAAAGAAAGGAGCUAGAGGGGCCACGCUCUCUGCUCUGCACACUCACAGCCCCCCAACAGCUCAGCCCCUGCAAAACGAACACCGCACAUGGUUUUCACUUUUCGCGCCUUGUUUGGUGAAAGGGAAAAAUCCUCUUCCGUUAGUGAAAACAGGUCCAGUUCCAGGUCCACAUGGUACAGGGUACCUUUGCCCCCUUCCUGUCUCCGCCCUUCUCCCCAGCCGCACGUGGGUUUGGAAACGCAGUCCUGGUGGAGGACACAGGAUGAACAUGCGACCUGUGAGGAUUCAGGAGGCUGCUCGUCUCAUUCAAGGCACCAUUGAUUUGACAGCCCUUUCCCAAGUACGUUAACAUCCCCGAUUCUCCUCUUCUGCAGACGGUGAGAGCUCCUCCCCACUAAGCCUGACUCCCCAGGGAGCCCUGGUUGUGACAGAUGCGGUGGUCAGACAGGACUGUCUGCUCAGUCAAAAUUCAGAGCAGGACUGGGACUCCUUUUCAUUUCACAAGGUUAAAAAAAAUGGUUCUUCAUUCGUCCUCUGUGGGCCACUAGGGGAGAAUUUGGAAAAUUUAUACACACAGUCAAUAAGCUUGUCAUCAAAGAGGCACGGGGGCUCCCAGCUGGGAAGAACAAUUGGCAAAUUCUCCAUUCUGGGCUUUGUUUAUCCUCUCAUUGUGAUGCAUAAUCACUGCUUCCUUAAGAAGGUCUGUGAUUCUUAAUUAGAUUUGACUUUGCAAAUCUUGCAUUUUCCUGGAGAGAACAAGCAAACCAAGUGAAUGGUGGUGGCCUUGACCUGGCAACAGAUUGCCCCCAAUCUUGCUUCUGGCAAAAAGCACAGAGGUUGGAUGGCCUGAGCUGACGUGUUAUCACAGAAUCCCGGAAAGUGAGGCGCACAGGGACUCACUCUCAUCCACUCUCAGCAUCCCAGCCCGCCCAGCUUCUUCUCCCUUCUGGGUACGUGUCUCUGCUGGGGAUGGGGCGCCCAUUCCGCUCCAGAAAGACCACGAUCCCACGGGGCAACUGCAGCUGCCAGAGACUACUGUCUUUUGCUCAAAAAUUGGUGCUACUGCCAGCCCCACCCCGUCCUUCCCCUCCCCUUUGAAGGGGCACGUGGGCACGUCUGCCACACACCCUUCAUUUUUUUUUUUUUUUUUGUCUUUUUGCUAUUUCUUUGGGCUGCUCCCGCAGCAUAUGGAGGUUCCCAGGCUAGGGGUUGAAUCGGAGCUGUAGCCACCAGCCUACGCCAGAGCCACAGCAACGUGGGAUCCGAGCCGCGUCUGCAACCUACACCACAGCUCACGGCAAUGCCUGAUCCUUAACCCACUGAGCAAGGGCAGGGACCGAACCCGCAAC